AAAGAUUUAUUUAAAAAAUAAUAUUUUAUUGUUAAUAAAAAGUUUUUUCUUUUUU
RNAcentral lists this transfer RNA (55 nucleotides) under Globodera rostochiensis. RNAcentral describes it as "tRNA-Asn". The record is from RNAcentral. Lineage: Eukaryota; Metazoa; Nematoda; Chromadorea; Rhabditida; Heteroderidae. RNAcentral also lists the same sequence under 1 other name.